GUAGGAUAAGCUAAGCACACUGUUGGUUAUGUGUGCCCAAGCAUUGAGGCAGUCAAAGUAGGCAAAUCCGCUUUGAUAAUGCUGGGAUGUGAUGGGGAGCGAAAUUUAGUAGCGAAGUAGCUGAUUUCACACUGUCAAGAAAAGUCUCUAUCGAGGUUAAAGGUACCCGUACCGCAAACCGACACAGGUGGGUGAGGAGAGUAUCCUAAGGCCAGCGAGAGAACUGUUGUUAAGGAACUCGGCAAAAUGACCCCGUAACUUAGGGAUAAGGGGUGCCACCAUCAGGUGGCCGCAGAGAAUAGGCCCAAGCGACUGUUUACCAAAAACAUAGGUUUCUGCUAAGUCGCAAGACGAUGUAUAGGAGCUGACGCCUGCCCGGUGCUGGAAGGUUAAGGGGAUCUGUUAGAGCAAUCGAAGCAGUGAACUUAAGCCCCAGUAAACGGCGGCCGUAACUAUAACGGUCCUAAGGUAGCGAAAUUCCUUGUCGGGUAAGUUCCGACCCGCACGAAAGGCGUAACGAUUUGGGCACUGUCUCAACAACAGACUCGGUGAAAUUGUAAUUCCGGUGAAGAUGCCGGAUACCUGCGACAGGACGGAAAGACCCCAUGGAGCUUUACUGUAGCUUGACAUUGGGUCUUGGUACUACAUGUACAGGAUAGGUG
RNAcentral lists this ribosomal RNA (662 nucleotides) under Clostridioides difficile. RNAcentral describes it as "partial 23S ribosomal RNA". It matches the Rfam family "Bacterial large subunit ribosomal RNA", at positions 1477 to 2149 of the family's 2925-position model. Lineage: Bacteria; Bacillati; Bacillota; Clostridia; Peptostreptococcales; Peptostreptococcaceae. The record is from RNAcentral.